GCGGAAGGAUCAUUAAAGAGUAAGGGUGCUCAGCGCCCGACCUCCAACCCUUUGUUGUUAAAACUACCUUGUUGCUUUGGCGGGACCGCUCGGUCUCGAGCCGCUGGGGAUUCGUCCCAGGCGAGCGCCCGCCAGAGUUAAACCAAACUCUUGUUAUUAAACCGGUCGUCUGAGUUAAAAUUUUGAAUAAAUCAAAACUUUCAACAACGGAUCUCUUGGUUCUCGCAUCGAUGAAGAACGCAGCGAAAUGCGAUAAGUAAUGUGAAUUGCAGAAUUCAGUGAAUCAUCGAAUCUUUGAACGCACAUUGCGCCCCUUGGUAUUCCGAGGGGCAUGCCUGUUCGAGCGUCAUUACACCACUCAAGCUAUGCUUGGUAUUGGGUGCCGUCCUUAGUUGGGCGCGCCUUAAAGACCUCGGCGAGGCCUCACCGGCUUUAGGCGUAGUAGAAUUUAUUCGAACGUCUGUCAAAGGAGAGGACUUCUGCCGACUGAAACCUUUUAUUUUUCUAGGUUGACCUCGGAUCAGGUAGGGAUACCCGCUGAACUUAAGCAU
This 551-nucleotide unclassified non-coding RNA is filed under the name Metschnikowia sp. JSKim-2014. RNAcentral's name for it is "partial contains 18S rRNA, ITS1, 5.8S rRNA, and ITS2". The stretch from base 196 to 349 matches the Rfam family "5.8S ribosomal RNA". Lineage: Eukaryota; Fungi; Ascomycota; Pichiomycetes; Serinales; Metschnikowiaceae. The record is from RNAcentral.